RNA transcript from Beta vulgaris subsp. vulgaris (sugar beet), 4777 nucleotides. It is a transcript of the gene named probable inactive poly [ADP-ribose] polymerase SRO1, with no coding region annotated. The transcript is spliced from 9 exons. NCBI's taxonomy places the organism in Eukaryota, Viridiplantae, Streptophyta, Magnoliopsida, Caryophyllales, Amaranthaceae. The record is from RefSeq and is a predicted model, not a curated record.
CUCUCUCCUGAAAGUUUUGUUCGAGACUCUGAAUUUGUCAAACUGUAUAAAAAAUUUAUAUUGAUUCAGCAAUGGAGCAAUUUGUUGGAGCAAGUUCAGGUUUUGGGCCUGUAAAUACGAGCAAUCAAAAAAACGUUUCUUCUUCUGAAACUGAAAAAACCGUUUCGAAAGAAUGGAGUGGUUACAGAAACUGCGUUUCGAGCCAAUCAAUGGUUCACAACUACGAGAAUUUCAAGCGCAGCGACGUGCCAGAGAGGUUGAUGGAGUGGUGUGGUGGCGCGUGGGUUGAAUUGUCCGGUGACGCGCUCUCACGCGCGAGAUCGGCGUUUUUAGACCGCGUGCCGAUGGUGGAGAUUGAAGUGGAAGGUAACGUUUGUAUUUUUGAUUUUUAUCGGAUGUUAAAGGUUGAAGUUGGAAGUAGUGGAUUGCAAAGAUCUAUUGCAUGGAUUGAUUUUAAAGGAAAUUGCUUUUUUCCGAAAUUCUUUGUUGAUGAAUCUUUACUUGAUGAUGAUAAUGAUGUUGAUGAUGAAGAAGAUGAUGAUGAUGAUGAACAUAGUAGUAAUAAUAAUAAUAAUGCUAAUAUUCCAAAGAUUGAGAUAGAGAUUAAAAUUGAUAAUGUUGGUAAUGAUACUAAUAAUAACAAAGAUAAGAAUAAGAAUGAUGUUGGUAUUAUUGAUGGUAAGAGAAAGAGGGUUUGUGAUGAAGAAGAUACUGCUGAUAGUUCUUGUAACAGUAAAACUGGGGAUAGGAGUCGAAAACGGCCCCGUUUUGAGCGUGUACAGAAGGUUAGUUGGCCAAAUUCUAGGUUGGUGCCUGAAGAGGAGAGAGCAUUUGUGUUUGUGAAGAAUUUGUUUAUGAAUGGGAUGAAGGUGGUUGAUCCUGGAGUUGAAAUUACUGCGAUUCGUCAGUUUGUUCGUACAGGGCCUAUUGAAAAAGCGCGGUGGGCAGCUUUUCAUACUCAAAUGGAGAGUAUACAGGAUGAUGUUGGCCGUGAGGGUCGGCCCAAGUUUGUGUUUGCUUGGCAUGGGGCGUCGAAGAAGGGAGUCUUUGACAUUUUUGCUCAUGGUUUUGGGGUACCAAGUGAUGCUUCUGGUUCACAGGCUCGUGGUGUUGGUGUUUAUUUGUCUCCUGGUCGUUUGCCACAUUUUAGUGAUGCAUUUGCUCAGGCCGAUGAUGAUGGCGAAAAGCAUCUUGUAUUGUGCCGGGUUCUCUUGGGCAAUGUGGAGAAAGUUGAUGUUGGGUCGCAGCAGUGUUAUCCAUCUAGUGUUGCUUUCGACAGUGGGGUGGAUAAUAUUGUGAACCCUAAAUGGUAUGUGGUUUGGACCACCAAUAUGAAUACCCACAUACUCCCUGAGUGUGUUGUGAGCUACAAGUGCUCUGAUCGCAAACAAGGAACCAAGCAGGGAGAUGACCUGAUGAAGUGGAUGCCUGAUGGACCAAUUCCAGCAAAGUUAUUUUUUUCCAAGUUGGGGGAUUUGGUUCCUACUGCCAAAUUUGAACAACUGAAGGCUAUUUGCAUGAGAUUUAAGGCUGGGAACAUGACCAAAGAUUUGUUCAUCAAGCAAUUAAGAUCAAUUAUUGGGAAUGACAUGCUGCGUUCUGCUUUGGCAGGGAUCCAAGGCUCAAAAUGAGAAAGUGUCAUUGCCAUGUGAAUUACACCAGUCCAACCUUACAAGGUUCAAGUUGUUGAUGAAGUUCAUCAAGCAAGCAUUGUCAACCCUUAAGAGGGUUGAUAUCCAAGUUAACUUUUCAAGGGUUAUAGCGAGCAGUGUGAUGUUCGCUGAGAAUUUUUGUAUCAAUGACAACUGCAAUAAGAACAUUAUUGCGAUCUAGUUUUUUAGUUACUUGAAUGGAAAGCACUUCGUCAGAUUCCAGCAGGCUCUAGGAGGAACAGAUAAUGAAUGUUCAGUUUCCCGGUUGUAGCUCAUUGCUGUUAUGUGUUUGAGAGCAAAAAUAAGCUAGCUGAUAGGGCUAGGUCUUGGAGGAAUAGAUGAGAUUUUAGCUGGUAUUUGGCACUGGAGUUUUCUGCUGGUUACACUUAUUCUCUGAGGACUGUUGCUUCCUGGAAAAAGCGGCAGAGGAACACAAAUUGCGCUGCUGGAGAUGUCAAAACUGUUUCCUUUUUUCAAGUGGUUCUAACAGGGCCGAAGAAUGCAUUAGAGAGGAGCAUAACGUUGACUGUAUAGUGGAACACAACAGAAGUUUCAUAUGCUGAAGAUUAGCUGUGUUUCUUCCUUUAUUACAGGUGAAACUACAUUUUACGGACUAGGCAUUGAGAUUAUCUGCAUAUAAGGGCGAUAAAUAAGAAUACAGAAGCUUGGGGAUUGAGAGCUAUUUGGAGAAUAUCCUUGUGGAUGCCAUGUAUGAGGUAUAACAUGAUCAAUUGCUUCAUGUCUUUAUCGUUUUGUGAGUAAAUGCUUCUGGUGCUUUGCAGAAUCUGUCAUAAAGAAUCCUUUUUUUAUGGGAGGGUAAUGUAAUCAUCAAUUUGUUUUUUGAACACUUCCAUUUUUUUUUUUGUUCAGAUUAGUUUGAACACUUCUAUUUGGUAACAUAAAAUAAACAGAGGCACCGUGCCAAACAUAGAAUUUUCAAAAGAUAACAAUCUAAUACUUUCAUUUUUGUCAUGGUGCCACUGUGGUAAAGGUGGAAGUCUUGCAAAGUAUGUUGAGACACUGUUUGGGUAUAAAAUCAUAGAGAUUUUUGCUUCCUAGCUUUUGGUAGUUUAUAUUCUCUGCCCACUUUUAGUUCUUUCCUAGCUUUUGUUGUUAUCUUGUAUUCUGGGUAGGUCUUCAGUUUGUGUACCAUGUCUUACCUGACAAGGAAUUUUGCUAUCUUAGGACCGUUAUAUUUACGGCUGCCGUUCACCGGGGCUUUGGUGCCAGUUGUGAGUGCGAAAGAAUUACUUUCUGACUUUAAAAGCUUUAGAUGUUUUAAGUUAUGGGAAAAGUAGGGAGGUGAGCAAGUUUAAUGACAUUACGUAGACUCUUAGAGUAAGGCUAUGUGCAGUUCACCUUAUUUUUGCUUAUUUCAAAUCAGAUCAGAAAAAAUAAGUUCACAUCAGAUCAGUUCAGAUCAUGCUUAUAUUUAAAAAUCAUUAUUACUAUUAAAUAUCUUUCAUUACAUAUUAGUAAAAAUUAUAAAAUUGAAUAUUAAUAAAGUAUUCAUUGAGACGAAUCAAACAAGACCCCACAUGACUAUAUUUUUUCUUAUACAUUGAGAAAAAUCUAAAAGAUAAGAUCUUGUAAAUCAAAUCAGAUCAGUUCAGAUCAGAAAAAAUAAGUUAGAUUAGAUAAGUUUAGAUCAGAAAAUUUCAGGUGAACUAAACAUAGCCUAAGAGUACUAACAUCUUGGUGAUCAUUGAGCAUGGUUUGCUUCUCCAAGUUCUCAUGGUAUUGAAGAAGUUCUAACAGUGGGGAGCUUUGAUGGAGUAUAACUUGAUCUUUGGGAGUUCUGACAUUGUGUUUUGUUUAGGUUUAAUAAUUUAGACGAAAAACUCUAUUGGGAGUUCGGACAUUGUGUUUUGUUUAGGUGUAAUAAUUUAGAGGGAAUACUCUGAAUACAAUGGUUAUUGAUGGUCAAUGCUUACAGUGAUUUUGGAUAUUGAUUGUUCAGUGUUUGUUUCCUAGCUGUUGCUUGCUUCUACUCCAAAUCAUUAUGGCCUUUUUUAAGUAUUAUGAGUACAUGACACCUCAAAAAGAUAUCUAGGGAAUUUCUCACAACUAAGAACUUCUCAAAAUAUCACGUGGAUCCAAAAUGUAGGCUGGUGAGAUCACGCCCCCCCCCCCCCCCCCCUUGACGUUUGUGUGUUGGGGAUACUUAAAAAGGUAUAAAAGCUGUUCGUUUGCUAGAAAAGGAAGGGGGGAGAGAGAGAUGGUUGGGAAGGAAGUGAAUAAUGAAGUAGAAGUGGUUAUCGUAAGCGAGGCAAAUAGAUGGGAGUUGAGAUUUGACGAGAGAAUAUGGGCAUAAAGGAAUGUUGAGCAAUAACUGGGAUCACGACAAAUGAGGACUUCCCAUUACACUAGCUACUUCCGAGAACUGGAAGAGAUAAUAAUGACCCAACGAUACUGUUAAGUAAGAUGAUACUCAUGAUUUGAACUAUGGAUUAUGAAGAGAUUGGGUGUGAUGAGUAUGAAGAAAUACUCUUGAAGAUGCUUGCAUAGUUUACGUAGCAUAAGCUGUGUACCUAUAUGGCCUUAUUCUUUCCGUUUGAUAGCAACAUUGCUUAUGUAAGAGCUAAAUAUGAAAGAUCAUCGAGUUUUAAUAUUGUGGCGUUACAUUAUAAAAACCAAUGAUUAAGUACUGUCAUUUCAUUCACGCUAUUAUUUUCUUUCAGUUUCACAUUAACUCGUCUAUUGAGGAAAUGAGUUUACCUCAUGCUUUCUCAAGAAUGUGUGAUCAUAUUUUUUUGGUAAGUUUAUCUUGUAAUAAGUGUCUUCCUUAUUUGAUUGCAUUUAGUGAGUAGUGACUGAAAUAUUUGCUUAGAAUUAUUUGGAAUUGUUUUAUGACUUAAAUGAUCACUUUCAAGUAUUUUUUUGGCUUAUACAUGCACUUGUAUAAAAGCUCCCUGCAGAAAAAAGGUUCCACCUUUCAAAAAUGCACUUAUGGAUCUCUUUAGUUGAUGAUCAGGAUCCUGUUGGUUGAUGCAACCUCUCUCAUGUACUCCAUUAUUUUAGGUUCUUUUGAUUUAGACUGAAAGUAUUAUAGUAGUACUUUUUACCUGUUAAAGCAACAUUGAAGACUAAUAAGAACUUUACCUACCGGGGAAUUCUACAUUGAA